Molecule: ribosomal RNA, 367 nt
Filed under: uncultured Acidovorax sp.
Lineage: Bacteria; Pseudomonadati; Pseudomonadota; Betaproteobacteria; Burkholderiales; Comamonadaceae
Description: bacterial SSU rRNA
Rfam family: Bacterial small subunit ribosomal RNA
Source: RNAcentral
GCGUCGAAAGAGAACCGUAACGACAGGUGCUGCAUGGCUGUCGUCAGCUCGUGUCGUGAGAUGUUGGGUUAAGUCCCGCAACGAGCGCAACCCUUGUCAUUAGUUGCUACAUUCAGUUGGGCACUCUAAUGAGACUGCCGGUGACAAACCGGAGGAAGGUGGGAUGACGUCAAGUCCUCAUGGCCCUUAUAGGUGGGGCUACACACGUCAUACAAUGGAUGGUACAAAGGGUCGCCAACCCGCGAGGGGGAGCCAAUCCCAUAAAGCCAGUCGUAGUCCGGAUCGUAGUCUGCAACUCGACUACGUGAAGUCGGAAUCGCUAGUAAUCGUGGAUCAGAAUGUCACGGUGAAUACGUUCCCGGGUCUU